Long non-coding RNA from Limulus polyphemus (Atlantic horseshoe crab), 337 nucleotides. RefSeq lists it as uncharacterized. The transcript has 3 exons. Lineage: Eukaryota; Metazoa; Arthropoda; Merostomata; Xiphosura; Limulidae. The record is from RefSeq and is a predicted model, not a curated record.
CAAAUGUCCAAAAAAUGGCAUUAUUUUGGGAUACCCCAGUAAUGAAACAAAUUGACGCAACUGUAAAAAAUCUUUCUGCCGGAGCACAAGAUUUGAUAAAGAAAUUUUUAGAAGCUUGGAACAUCUUUAUGACAGGAAUCAGUGGACCAUCAAGUGAUUCCACUACAAUGGUACCCACGGAAGCGUCAUAAAAUGUUUGAAGCUGAAGACUGAUGUGCUCGAGAACUUUACAAAUGAUACACUGUUCAAAGGAUAAUUAGUACUGUAUUGCCUUCGUUACAAAUUAUUGAAUCUAUAUAUGCAUACAUGUUGAGGACACUGAAAAUUUUUUACAAUA